AGAGUUUGAUUCUGGCUCAGAACGAACGUUGGCGGUGUGGAUUAGGCAUGCAAGUCGCGCGCGAAAGUCUUCGGACGAGUAAAGCGGCGGACGGGCGAGUAACGCGUAAUCAACCUGCCCCCGAGACUGGAAUAGCCACUGGAAACGGUGGGUAAUGCCAGAUGGCCCCCCGGAUCGGCAUCGGUUCGUGGGUAAACGGUGGCGAAAGCUACUGCUUGGGGAGGGGAUUGCGUCCUAUCAGCUAGUUGGUGGGGUAAUGGCUCACCAAGGCGAUGACGGGUAGCUGGUCUGAGAGGACGACCAGCCGCACUGGGACUGAGAUACUGCCCAGACUCCUACGGGAGGCUGCAGUCGAGAAUCUUCCGCAAUGGGCGAAAGCCUGACGGAGCGACACCGCGUGCAGGACGAAGGCCCUCGGGUUGUAAACUGCUGUCACGCUCUAGGAAUGCCGUGUCGUUAAUAGCGGCACGGUUGACCAAGGCGAGAGGAAGUGGCGGCUAACUCUGUGCCAGCAGCCGCGGUAAU
This 525-nucleotide ribosomal RNA is filed under the name uncultured Planctomycetota bacterium. Its description in RNAcentral is "bacterial SSU rRNA". It matches the Rfam family "Bacterial small subunit ribosomal RNA", at positions 8 to 524 of the family's 1533-position model. Lineage: Bacteria; Pseudomonadati; Planctomycetota. The record is from RNAcentral.